AAUAAUCUCAUUUUUUGUUUUUCCGUAUUCAACGUUUGAUCAUUCGUCUUAUUUAAAAUCUUUUUGUGAUUAAUAUUUUUAUUAUUACUAAUAAUAAAAUAUAAAUAGUACUUUAUACGUGACUAAUUUUUUUAGAUUUUUAUAUAAUUUUUUUAAAUAAGACGAAAGGUCAAACGUUAGAUAUGAAAAA
This 190-nucleotide microRNA precursor is filed under the name Oryza brachyantha (malo sina). RNAcentral's name for it is "MIR812 microRNA precursor family". It matches the Rfam family "MIR812 microRNA precursor family", at positions 15 to 188 of the family's 205-position model. Lineage: Eukaryota; Viridiplantae; Streptophyta; Magnoliopsida; Poales; Poaceae. The record is from Rfam by way of RNAcentral.